GGUAACAGGUCACGCGACAAGAGGCGUUCCCGCGGUGCGCGCGCUCAUUGGUUCGGUCCGAGUGUCUGUCGGUUCAGUUCACUCGGAUGUCGUGUUGUCAGAGGAGGGGGCAAAAGAACACCUGCUUCUGUAUGGGACAUGGAGCGAUUGAGUGCUGAAGCACUGGGUGCAGAACCUGAUGGCUUCUUUGACAUUCUGGAGGAGAGGAGGCGGAGCAGUGACUUAAGCCACGCCUUUCGGACCUUUAAACCUCAGCCAUACCGUGGAGCCACACCCAUUUCAGCUGCUGCUCUAAACAAGAUGGUGCUUGAAUCACAGUACCUGCGCUACAUCAUACAGGAGAUCGUGGUUGAGUGCGAUGAACCACGUGAGGCAGUUCUAGAGGAAGCGUCUGCGUUACUGGACGAGAUGAGUCAAAACCUUCAACUGGGGUUCAUUCGUCUGCUGGGCUUCGCAAUGAGCAAAAUUUUUAAAAGCGUGUUCAGCUCUAUAAAUGUCAACGAGGAUGGACUCGCACGGCUCCAGCAAGCCAUUCAGGAGCAUCCCGUCAUCCUGAUGCCCAAUCACAGGAGCUACAUGGACUUCCUUGUUCUGUCUUACAUCAUGUUCACUUAUGACCUCUCUCUCCCCGUCAUUGCAGCUGGAAUUCCUCUGAUGGGGAUGAAGCUGAUUGGUGAGAUCUUACGACGGUCAGGCGCAUUCUUUAUCCGUCGUGCCAUUGGCUCAGACAAGCUGUACUGGGCGGUGCUGUCCGAGUACGUCAGAACGAUUGUGCGGACAGGUUAUGCUCCAUUAGAGUUUUACGUCGAAGGAUUACGGAGUAGAACGCUGAAAUCUCUAACACCAAAACUAGGAAUGAUGCACAUGGUGUUGGAGCCCUUUUUUAAAGGAGAGGUGUUUGACAUCAGUCUGGUCCCCAUCAGCAUCAGUUAUGAGCGUGUGUUGGAGGAGUCGCUUCUUGCUCGUGAGCUGCUGGGUGUCCCUAAACCUAGAGAAACCACAGGGGGUUUGCUGAAGGCCAGGACGGUGCUGAAGGAGAAUUACGGCAGCAUGCAUGUGUGCUUUGGAAACCCUGUGUCUGUGAGAGACCUGGUCAAGGGAAAGAUAAACAACAGGCAGUAUAAUCUGGUACCCAGAGAUCUGCCCAUGAAGCCCAAUAAGGAGACACAGGAGUUUGUAUCUGGUCUAGCCCACAUGAUCAUCCGUUUGCAGGAGAGAAAUUCGGUAUUGAGCGCCUGGAACCUGAUGGCUGUGAUUCUCCUUCAGAACCUCCAGGGCAUUGAUUUGGACCUGCUGACCCACAAAACCCUCUGGCUGAGGAGAAUCGCCCUGCAGUUUGGAGCCCACCUCAGAUGGCCUAAGCAUGUUUUGGAUUCUGAAGUGAUGUCAUCGAUCUUGACCCUGCAUCACUCAGUAGUGCGCUGUGAGAGGGGGUGUGUCUAUUUAGUGGAGGAGGAGGGUCCAGGACCUGUCACUCAAGAGGAGGGCGUGUUCCAACGUGCUGCUGCUGUGCUCAUAUGCGCCUCCUACAGGAAUCAAGCAGUACAUGUUUUCACACGGCCAGCUAUGGUGGCAGUUGCAAUGACAACAGCUAUAAGCAGUAGGACAGACGACGUGUUUCAUCAUUUUAAAUUCCUUCUGGAGCUCUUUUCCAACGAGUUUGUCUUCAUUCCUGGUCAAGCUGUUCAGGACUACGAGGAGGGCUGCUCUUUGCUACAGCAGUCUGGUGUAAUCGGCCGCUCUGAUGAAGAGGUCUAUGUGAGAGACGACGGCCAGGACACCAUCAUCUUCCUCAGAACCAUUCUGCAGCCUUUUAUUGAGAGUUACCAGUGUGUUUAGGUGGUGUUUAGGUACCUGUGUGAAGAGAACUCGCAGACUUUCAGAGAGAAGAUGUUUUCAACCAGCAUCCGCAGUUUCAUUAUGAAGCUCCUUAUUUCAGGUGAAGUUCAGUCCUAUGAGUGUUUGUCAUCUGACCUACAGAAGAACGUUCUCUCAGCUUUGCUCAGGAUGGCUGCUGUGACCAAAACUAAAGUUGACGACCAGAAUGAGUUCAGAGUGAAUAAAUCUGCAGUGAAGAGAAUAUGGGACACGCUGAAUGACGGUUGGAGCCCUCGAAUCAGUGUAGACGCCAGACUGUGAUGAGGAGAAUCAGACAACAGCGACUCAAGAUUCUUUUACUGUAGAAGUGCUAAUAAGUAUUAGUACCAUAUGUGUUUUAGUGUCAAACACAGAGUAAACCUGCAGUAGCGGCUCUUGAUGUAGAACAUCAGUUAUUUUGGACUGUUGUUGCAGUAUAGAUGAUUUAAUUUUAGAUAGGUCAUGUGAAAAUCAUAACAGGUAAUUAUGGUAUAUCAACAGCAAAAUAUAAAUUUAAAGAUAUAUUCAUCUUUUAAGUGUUCAUUUUAUAUGCAUGUUUAACAUGCAAUUUAACAUGUUUUUUUUUUAAUUUUGAUAAUCAAAUAAUUACAUUAAUUGCAUAUUUUUUUAAAUAUAUAUUUUUGUAUGAUAUCAUUGUAAUAAAAUCUUGAUUACUGCCGCA
RNA transcript from Megalobrama amblycephala (Wuchang bream), 2539 nucleotides. It is a transcript of the gene named glyceronephosphate O-acyltransferase 2, with no coding region annotated. The record is from RefSeq and is a predicted model, not a curated record. NCBI's taxonomy places the organism in Eukaryota, Metazoa, Chordata, Actinopteri, Cypriniformes, Xenocyprididae. The transcript is spliced from 16 exons.